This 253-nucleotide ribosomal RNA is filed under the name uncultured bacterium. RNAcentral describes it as "partial 16S ribosomal RNA". It matches the Rfam family "Bacterial small subunit ribosomal RNA", at positions 524 to 776 of the family's 1533-position model. The record is from RNAcentral.
UACAGAGGGGGCAAGCGUUAUUCGGAAUUAUUGGGCGUAAAGGGCGCGUAGGCGGCCUGGCAAGUGGAAGGUGAAAUCCCUCGGCUUAACCGAGGAACUGCCCUCCAAACUGCUUGGCUUGAGACCGGGAGAGGUGAGUGGAAUUCCCAGUGUAGCGGUGAAAUGCGUAGAUAUUGGGAGGAACACCAGUGGCGAAGGCGAGUCCCUGGACAGAUCCUGACGCUGAGGCACGAAAGCUAGGGGAGCAAACAGG